RNAcentral lists this ribosomal RNA (245 nucleotides) under uncultured Bacillus sp. RNAcentral describes it as "partial 16S ribosomal RNA". It matches the Rfam family "Bacterial small subunit ribosomal RNA", at positions 524 to 768 of the family's 1533-position model. Lineage: Bacteria; Bacillati; Bacillota; Bacilli; Caryophanales; Bacillaceae. The record is from RNAcentral.
UACGUAGGUGGCAAGCGUUAUCCGGAAUUAUUGGGCGUAAAGCGCGCGCAGGUGGUUUCUUAAGUCUGAUGUGAAAGCCCACGGCUCAACCGUGGAGGGUCAUUGGAAACUGGGAGACUUGAGUGCAGAAGAGGAAAGUGGAAUUCCAUGUGUAGCGGUGAAAUGCGUAGAGAUAUGGAGGAACACCAGUGGCGAAGGCGACUUUCUGGUCUGUAACUGACACUGAGGCGCGAAAGCGUGGGGAG